RNAcentral lists this ribosomal RNA (465 nucleotides) under Vreelandella stevensii. RNAcentral's name for it is "partial 16S ribosomal RNA". It matches the Rfam family "Bacterial small subunit ribosomal RNA", at positions 338 to 795 of the family's 1533-position model. Lineage: Bacteria; Pseudomonadati; Pseudomonadota; Gammaproteobacteria; Oceanospirillales; Halomonadaceae. The record is from RNAcentral.
CCUACGGGUGGCAGCAGUGGGGAAUAUUGGACAAUGGGGGCAACCCUGAUCCAGCCAUGCCGCGUGUGUGAAGAAGGCCCUCGGGUUGUAAAGCACUUUCAGUGAGGAAGAACGCCUGGUGGUUAAUACCCAUCAGGAAAGACAUCACUCACAGAAGAAGCACCGGCUAACUCCGUGCCAGUAGCCGCGGUAAUACGGAGGGUGCGAGCGUUAAUCGGAAUUACUGGGCGUAAAGCGCGCGUAGGUGGCUUGAUAAGCCGGUUGUGAAAGCCCCGGGCUCAACCUGGGAACGGCAUCCGGAACUGUCAAGCUAGAGUGCAGGAGAGGAAGGUAGAAUUCCCGGUGUAGCGGUGAAAUGCGUAGAGAUCGGGAGGAAUACCAGUGGCGAAGGCGGCCUUCUGGACUGACACUGACACUGAGGUGCGAAAGCGUGGGUAGCAAACAGGAUUAGAUACCCCGGUAGUC